AUGAACGCUAGCGGCAGGCCUAACACAUGCAAGUCGAGGGGUAGAAGGAGCUUGCUCCUUUGAGACCGGCGCACGGGUGCGUAACGCGUAUGCAAUCUACCUUGUACAGGGGAAUAGCCCAGAGAAAUUUGGAUUAAUGCCCCAUAGUAUAUAACCUUCGCAUGUUGGUUAUAUUAAAGUUCCAACGGUACAAGAUGAGCAUGCGUCCCAUUAGUUAGUUGGUAAGGUAACGGCUUACCAAGACGAUGAUGGGUAGGGGUCCUGAGAGGGAGAUCCCCCACACUGGUACUGAGACACGGACCAGACUCCUACGGGAGGCAGCAGUGAGGAAUAUUGGUCAAUGGUCGCAAGACUGAACCAGCCAUGCCGCGUGCAGGAAGACGGUCCUAUGGAUUGUAAACUGCUUUUAUACAGGAAGAAGCCCUCCCACGUGUGGGAGCUUGACGGUACUGUAGGAAUAAGGAUCGGCUAACUCCGUG
This 479-nucleotide ribosomal RNA is filed under the name uncultured bacterium. RNAcentral describes it as "partial 16S ribosomal RNA". It matches the Rfam family "Bacterial small subunit ribosomal RNA", at positions 29 to 507 of the family's 1533-position model. The record is from RNAcentral.